Myotis lucifugus (little brown bat) is the source of this 142-nucleotide non-coding RNA. Lineage: Eukaryota; Metazoa; Chordata; Mammalia; Chiroptera; Vespertilionidae. The record is from Rfam.
AGCUUUGCACAGUGGCAGUAGCAUAGCUAAUGAGGUUUAUCCGAGGUGCAAUUAUUACUAAUCGAAAAUGUUUCCAGAGUUAAUGAGGCCGAGAAGCAGUGAUUCUUGCUUCCAGACUUAAAAGUGAUAGUUAUAGAUAUAA